AGCAUUUUGUGCUCCUAAGAUUUAUCUUUUUUAAUAUUGCCAGUGUUUGCAUUCUCAUGCUAUCUUGUUUUUGCAGGUUUUGUAAUUAUUGGAGGAGAAAAUGUAGGAAAAUUAGACCUUGGUAUCUUCAUCGCUUCAGUUAUCCCUGGGGGACCUGCAGACAGAGCUGGAAAUAUCAAACCAGGAGGACGACUCAUCUCUGUGAAUAAUAUCAGCCUUGAGGGUGUUUCAUUUAAUACUGCUGUUAAAAUCAUACAGAACUCUCCCGAUGAAGUGGAGCUCAUCAUCUCUCAACCCAAAGACAUGUAUGAAGAAGGACUAAAUGAAGAAAAGAAUCUAUCAAGAGGAAACAGCACUAGUGGAUCUGAGAUCUCUUGUGUAGACAGUGGAAGAAAAAAGAUUCAGGAUUGUCAUACAGCUCUCCCCAAAGAACAGGACACAAAUAUAGAUGAACUUGAAAAGACUCUCUCUUGGAAUUUAGCAUCAAAAUUGGGCCCUAGGAUUCCAGUUCCUUCAGCUGAUAGCCUGGAUAUAAAGGCAACUGAUUCUUCCCACUUACCAUCUCCAUCAGAAACCAACUCAAGGGAACUCUACACGGUGGAGCUGGUUAAAGAAGAUGGG
Molecule: long non-coding RNA, 621 nt
Filed under: Chloebia gouldiae (Gouldian finch)
Lineage: Eukaryota; Metazoa; Chordata; Aves; Passeriformes; Passeridae
Description: Erythrura gouldiae (Gouldian finch) lncRNA (ENSEGOG00005012547.1)
Source: RNAcentral